UGAUAGGUCUGAGGUGGAAGUGUGGCGACACAUGGAGCUGACAGAUACUAAUCGAUCGAGGACUUAACCUAA
This 72-nucleotide ribosomal RNA is filed under the name Bacillus swezeyi. RNAcentral describes it as "partial 23S ribosomal RNA". The record is from RNAcentral. Lineage: Bacteria; Bacillati; Bacillota; Bacilli; Caryophanales; Bacillaceae.